CACUCUAAAAAAAAAAGGUUCCUUGAGGUUCUAUAUAGAACCGUUGGGUUCUAUACUUGGCCAAUAGAACCUUUUACCAAAAAAAGGGUUCCAUAUAGAACCCUUGGAAGGCAAAGAACCAUUUUUAUUAAAAUGGUUCUAUAAUUCACGUUUUCUGACUGAAGUGUAAACUAAAGAUUACACAAUAAUUGCAGACCUACACAACUCAUUUACAAACCUACACAACUCAUUCACAAACCUUUUUGUGUCAAUAGGCUGUGGUCAAAAAAAGAGAGAGUCAACAAAUAGGCUAUUAAUAUUUAGUGUAUGAUUUAUUUCCUGUGAGCUUUUUUAUGCAAGUUUGUACAUUAGCAUGAAACUUACAGUGCAGUUUGCGUUUCUGGUGAAUUAUCAGGUGUUUUCUUUAUUUUGUACAUUCUAUAUUGUCAAUGUUUGUUUAAUUUAACCUGAAGGGGCAUUAAAAACAAAUAAUCGCAAAAGUGCCCUCUGGUGGCGUAUAUAUGCGUUGCACCAGAAGAUGAGCCUCGUGACGUGACAGUUUUUUUUCAAACUGAGGUGAGGAGUUCGGACUCCGGACCGGCAUUUCUGCUUGUUUGUACCCUGUCCAUGAGAUAACCAUGGUUAAUAAAUGGUCAGACACGUCACUGGCUUUUAAAUAUAAACCCCAUUGAUGCAAAAAGAUGCUGCAUGGAAUGACAAUGAGGUUUGGAACAGACUUGGUGAAGAACAUGGAAACAUCUCUAAAUAAAAUGGCGCCAAACAUCAUCAGGAGUGCAAAAGAAGGAUGUAAAAAACAUCUCUACGCCAAUCUCAUUGGAGAGGAAACCACAGAAGGUCUGGUGAGGAAUGCUGCACUUCUGUUAUUGCAAGCAUUAUUUCAAGAAAAUCCCAGCUUCCUUUACUGUGUAAAUAGUGAACCCAAAGGUCCCACACCAACCAUAGUGUUCAACGGCUCUCCUGAUCUUCUCAAAUCUGAAAGUAUCAACUGUAUAAUGGACAAUGUGAACUUAAUAUGUGGAAGACAUUGACAUCACAGGCUGUGGAAUGACUGUGUCACAGGUCGGAGAAGCGGACCGCCCCUGUCGCGGAUCACGCUCCUCCUAGUUCCACCUUGAGGAGGUCCCAAAGCACCCCAAUGACCAGACAAACCAGAGAUAAGUAAAAUAUAAAAAUAGAAACUUUAUUUAAAUUAUCUAAAACUAAAGUGGGGAAUGGGAAAGGGAAUCUAAAAAUCUCGCUUCUCGCCCUCAGGGGGAGUAUUAAGGGGCCAGGGACGUGGGAUUUCCACGUGACUCCACCUCGAACACCGCUACAGAGCGUAUCUGGCUGGGUUGGGCACACACCGUCGCGGCGGCCCCUGAUGGCAUCCACAAAGGUCCAAGACCCUCCUAAGGUGAGUACGGACGACAAGGACACAGCACACAUCUUCAAGAAAGCUUUGUGUAUUUCCGUUUCAAGAGGUUCUUACUUGACUGUUGAACAGUGUUUCUUCUCUCUCCACAGCUUCUAGCCGUAGCAGAAAUACGUAUUUCAGCACCCGAACGACUAACAACUCAGCCGGCAUCUGCAGCGUAUAUCCAACGCGAUCAAACUUCACUCUGACAAUUAACUUCCUAUACACAACCACGCCGUCCUUUCGCCCGGACCAGCCCCGCACUCUUUCCGCCCGCUACCUAGCGGUCGCCGGAUCAGCAGAGCCUGCGGACUCUUCGGAGGCUGGUCUUCGUUGUGCUGCCCAAGGCGGAAGUUUACUUCCAGUAACUUCUACCUUCUCUCUUUAUAUCCCCAACCAUCGCUCGCCACGUCACUCACACAGCUGUGCCUUGUUUCAGCGAGUGCGGGGAUUCCCGGGGAACCCGGAAGUGCCGGUGUCUGUACAAACUGGUCCGGGCGGAACCUCUUCACUCUCCUUUUGGUUCCGCCCCGCAUAGUCACUCUGUGACAACUGUUUGCGUUUUUUUUUCUCCUCAAUGUUCAAUACCCUUUUGCCAUAAAGCACACAGUGACUUUAAUUUAUAAAAUAUAUGCUUAAGUUUUAAUACCUGUACAAAACAAAUGUACAAUCAACUUGUGUAAAUUGUCAUUCUAUUUAAUAGAUUGUUCAUGAAUUGUCUUUAAAUGCAUUGUGAUUUCGGUAACACUUUACAAUAAGGUUCAUUAGUUAACAUUAGUUAAUGUAUUAACUAACUUGAACAAACCAUGAGCAAUACAUUUGUUACAGUAUUUAUUCAUCUUUGUUAAUGUUAGUUAAUUCAAAUUUAAGCUUUAAUUGCUUGUUCAUGUUAGUUCAGAG
Molecule: non-coding RNA, 2293 nt
Organism: Misgurnus anguillicaudatus (oriental weatherfish)
Lineage: Eukaryota; Metazoa; Chordata; Actinopteri; Cypriniformes; Cobitidae
Source: RefSeq, a predicted model, not a curated record